GAGCCGGGUGGCCGGGUUACCUUCGGGGUUGGCGCUGAUGAAGACGCGGACGCUCCUGCCGCUCGGCACCAGGUGGGCCGGCAGCGCCGCCAGGUUGCCGGCGAAGGCCGCCCGCCGCAGCGCGGCGUCCCGCGGGCAGGGCAGCCUGCCGCCCGCCCCGGCCGCCCACAUGGCGCCGCGCCGCAGGGCUCACGGCAGUCGCCGGCCCGCGCUGCUGCUGCUGCUGCUGCUGCUGCUGCUGGCGGCUGCCGGCGGACGGGCGGCGGCGGCCAUGCGGCCCCUGCGCUGCUCUCUCGGCGGCGGGGAGAAAGUUUGGCGGCCGAGCCCCGCGGCGGCGUGUCUGGUCCCGGCGGGGUGGGCUGCGGGCAGCCCCGCGGCGCCCGCCCUCCUCCGAGCGCUUCAGGGCCCCCGGGCCGGAUUUUUAUAGGAAAAGUGCCGGCGGCGCAUCCUCCGGGCUCGCAAGAGUUCAGCGCCCUCCUUGCGUCUUCUGGAGCCGCCCGCGCAGGAGUCCCAGCUGCGGAGAUAUAACACCAAAACCGAGCUUUUCAGAUCAGCCCUUUUUCUCUGAAGACACAAGCUUCCUGUGUGAAACAUGUGGGCCUGACCCAGGUGCUGAGGCUAUCGGCAUUGCUGCUUCUGUCAGCCUCCAUGGAGCUGCUUGGCAAGUAAUGUGGGCACAGUCUGAUGGUAUUUCGGGAAGCCAGUAGCUCCCUAGAUGGCUUUCCUGUAUUUAGGAAUGAAUUAAAGUUUCACUCUUCAUAUUAAGGAUAUCACAGAGGUCACUUAGUGAUCUCCAGAGGAGACGGGCAGUUGAACUGUGCAGGAGAUAAAAGCGCACUGCCAGAUAAUCCAUUGAGCAAAUAAUUGGCUGUGCCUUCAGACUGCCGUGAUACCAUGACUGUUAGGAGAAAACAUCACUGGAAACGUCUGAGAGUGGUAAAAUCUCACAAAAUUAAAUCUCACAAGUUACAGACUCAGGUAUGACAAUCAAAUGCAUGAAGCUGCUUAAUUCUGUACUCUUUACUUGAGAGCUUUUGUAGCAUUUUGCACCAAUACAGAAAUAGGUGGCACCUCAGAGCUACUACAUUUCAGAGUCUUGCUGAGCGUUUCCAGGAAGCACUCAAAUGAUCAAUGGAGACAUUUUUUUCUCUUAGUCAUAGACAUUUAAUUUUAUGUGUAUUCCAUAUAAACAGGAUUAGGUUUAAUCAACUGUAGUUUUCUUAAGUGUGAGUUAUUUUGCUGUCAUACCUGCGCUAUAAUUUAAUUAAUGUCUCAAUGGAUACUUAAAUCAAUAUCUCUUGGUCCCACCUGCCCUGCUUUCUCUUGCAAAUAAACAGCCAUGCUACAGUUAACAAAUCAGUGGAUGUUUAGGAACAGAGAUGCCUUUUCUUCUGUGGUGUGGAUUAACCUUGCAACCUGGAAAUGGCAGCAGCAGAAGUGUAGGCACCCCUGUGUUAUGGUGGGCUCACACAUGUUCUUGCUUCAGUCUGAACUCAACCGCAGUUUUGAGAUAUCUCUCCCAGUUGUCCCCACUUCCUGGGUUUGGUCUGGCAUCGUCAGUAGUCUCGGGGUGCAGGAACUGGAAUCACCUUUCAGGUGAUACUAAACUGAACGGCAAUUGUGGCAUUCAGCCCAUGGGGCCAGACUGGAGAUAGUUUGAAGUAAAGUACCAAAAUCUAAAAUGUGUGUGCUGUUGGUAUCAAAUCCUCUGCAUCAACAGUUUUACUCUACAGACCUACUGCUUUUGGUCCACACUAGUUGCUAAUGUAGCAAAAAGUACAGGCUUUUUUUAUUGAUGAUUUCCAGAUAGCAGGGAACAGAAAGUAUCCCUCAUCUAUAGAGUGACACAGAGACUUCAAGAUUCAUAUUUUUUCAGUAGUCAGAACAGAAA
Long non-coding RNA from Cygnus olor (mute swan), 1891 nucleotides. RefSeq lists it as uncharacterized. NCBI's taxonomy places the organism in Eukaryota, Metazoa, Chordata, Aves, Anseriformes, Anatidae. The transcript has 2 exons. The record is from RefSeq and is a predicted model, not a curated record.